Non-coding RNA from Acyrthosiphon pisum (pea aphid), 114 nucleotides. The record is from Rfam. Lineage: Eukaryota; Metazoa; Arthropoda; Insecta; Hemiptera; Aphididae.
GUUGGCUACGGCGACAUAUACCCGACCACGGCCCUGGGAAAGGUCAUCGGCGGCGUCUGUUGUAUCUGCGGCGUGCUGGUUAUUGCGCUGCCCAUUCCAAUUAUCGUCAACAAU